Molecule: ribosomal RNA, 254 nt
Filed under: uncultured bacterium
Lineage: Bacteria
Description: partial 16S ribosomal RNA
Rfam family: Bacterial small subunit ribosomal RNA
Source: RNAcentral
UACGUAGGGGGCAAGCGUUGUCCGGAAUCACUGGGCUUAAAGCGCGUGUAGGCGGAUGGGGACGUCGGUCGCUGAAAUCCCCCGGCUCAACCGGGGAACGGGCACCGAAACGCCCCGUCUCGAGGGACGUAGGGGGACCUGGAACUUCCGGUGGAGCGGUGAAAUGCGUAGAUAUCGCUUGGAACGCCAAAGGUGAAAACAGACAGCUGGGAGUGUGCUGACGCUGAGACACGAAAGCCAGGGGAGCGAACGGG